GACGAACGCUGGCGGCGUGCUUAACACAUGCAAGUCGAACGGAAAGGCCCUGCUUUUGUGGGGUGCUCGAGUGGCGAACGGGUGAGUAACACGUGAGUAACCUGCCCUUGACUUUGGGAUAACUUCAGGAAACUGGGGCUAAUACGGGAUAGGAGCUCCUGCUGCAGGGUGGGGGUUGGAAAGUUUCGGCGGUUGGGGAUGGACUCGCGGCUUAUCAGCUUGUUGGUGGGGUAGUGGCUUACCAAGGCUUUGACGGGUAGCCGGCCUGAGAGGGUGACCGGCCACAUUGGGACUGAGAUACGGCCCAGACUCCUACGGGAGGCAGCAGUGGGGAAUAUUGCACAAUGGGCGGAAGCCUGAUGCAGCAACGCCGCGUGCGGGAUGACGGCCUUCGGGUUGUAAACCGCUUUCGCCUGUGACGAAGCGUGAGUGACGGUAAUGGGUAAAGAAGCACCGGCUAACUACGUG
Molecule: ribosomal RNA, 468 nt
Filed under: uncultured bacterium
Lineage: Bacteria
Description: partial 16S ribosomal RNA
Rfam family: Bacterial small subunit ribosomal RNA
Source: RNAcentral